UUUAGCAAGCACCUUUGUGUAAACUCUGUAUAAAGAGUAAAAUAUACAAAAUUGACGUGAUUAACCGAAAUCGGAAAAGCACUAAUGUUUGUUAAAUC
Molecule: ribosomal RNA, 98 nt
Filed under: Badhamia polycephala
Lineage: Eukaryota; Evosea; Eumycetozoa; Physariida; Physaraceae
Description: Physarum polycephalum mt-5S-like P. polycephalum
Rfam family: mt-5S-like P. polycephalum
Source: Rfam by way of RNAcentral